GUGGGUAGUUUGACUGGGGCGGUCUCCUCCUAAAGAGUAACGGAGGAGCACGAAGGUUGGCUAAUCCUGGUCGGACAUCAGGAGGUUAGUGCAAUGGCAUAAGCCAGCUUGACUGCGAGCGUGACGGCGCGAGCAGGUGCGAAAGCAGGUCAUAGUGAUCCGGUGGUUCUGAAUGGAAGGGCCAUCGCUCAACGGAUAAAAGGUACUCCGGGGAUAACAGGCUGAUACCGCCCAAGAGUUCAUAUCGACGGCGGUGUUUGGCACCUCGAUGUCGGCUCAUCACAUCCUGGGGCUGAAGUAGGUCCCAAGGGUAUGGCUGUUCGCCAUUUAAAGUGGUACGCGAGCUGGGUUUAGAACGUCGUGAGACAGUUCGGUCCCUAUCUGCCGUGGGCGCUGGAGAACUGAGGGGGGCUGCUCCUAGUACGAGAGGACCGGAGUGGACGCAUCACUGGUGUUCGGGUUGUCAUGCCAAUGGCACUGCCCGGUAGCUAAAUGCGGAAGAGAUAAGUGCUGAAAGCAUCUAAGCACGAAACUUGCCCCGAGAUGAGUUCUCCCUGAGACUUUAGGUCUCCUGAAGGAACGUUGAAGACGACGACGUUGAUAGGCCGGGUGUGUAAGCGCAGCGAUGCGUUGAGCUAACCGGUACUAAUGAACCGUGAGGCUUAACCUUACAACGCCGAA
RNAcentral lists this ribosomal RNA (681 nucleotides) under Salmonella enterica. RNAcentral's name for it is "bacterial LSU rRNA". It matches the Rfam family "Bacterial large subunit ribosomal RNA", at positions 2261 to 2925 of the family's 2925-position model. RNAcentral also lists the same sequence under 8 other names. The record is from RNAcentral. Lineage: Bacteria; Pseudomonadati; Pseudomonadota; Gammaproteobacteria; Enterobacterales; Enterobacteriaceae.